Molecule: long non-coding RNA, 336 nt
Organism: Calidris pugnax (ruff)
Lineage: Eukaryota; Metazoa; Chordata; Aves; Charadriiformes; Scolopacidae
Exons: 3
Source: RefSeq, a predicted model, not a curated record
UUGAGUGAUGUUUUAGAGCCUCCUAACUUGAAGUCUUUCUACACUCAAAAGCCAUUAACCUGAGUACUUCAGUGACAUUUUUCAUUUGGAUUGGCUGCUACAGGGAAGGCUGAAUCUUGAAUCAGCACCAACUGUCACCCAUUUCCUGGAAUAGAAAUGAGCCUAAACCAACCACACAGUAAAUUAAAGCCAACAAUAAUGGAAACUGAAGCUGAAGCACAUUCCAGGUAGAGGAAAUGCCAGCUCAGCACCUGUCUCCUAGUGCCAACUGCACAGAGCCCUGGGGAAAGGGCAAAGCGAAGACCCACUGGUCAUGCAGAGGAAUUAGAGCUGCAG